Molecule: long non-coding RNA, 1296 nt
Organism: Wasmannia auropunctata (little fire ant)
Lineage: Eukaryota; Metazoa; Arthropoda; Insecta; Hymenoptera; Formicidae
Exons: 3
Source: RefSeq, a predicted model, not a curated record
GCGUGAAGUUGGCCCCCCGCGAUUUUCGCGAAUUCUCUUCGUCACUAGACUUUCUGAUCGUUAGUUACGGAACGUCGCGAGUAGAUAUAUAUUACUUUCACAGCUUCGUGAUAUUGGAUAUUUACCUCGCGGAGAUUCACGCGAUCAAAAUUCAUAGUUCGAUCUAAUCGAUAAAGUGACGAUCGUAUCGAAUAAUGCAAUUCGCGGGCGCUCGAUCGUCUUUACGUUGCGAUGCAAUCAUGAAAUGCAAAUGUACGACAUCAAUAGUACGGAAUAUCAGUAGUACGGAAAGUGCACGCAUUAGUGUCGCUUAUUGGCGCAACAGGCGCAGCGUCGCGUCGCGACGAUAAUCACUUUUGGUGCGUAAAGUUGGCCCCCCGCGAUUUCCACGAAGUCCUUCCGCCAUGUUUAUAGUUUCUCGAAACGGAGCGUCGCGCGUCGCGAGUGGAUAUUAAUUACUUUCGCACCUUCGCAUCUGACAUUACUUUCUUCAUCUUAUUCUUUCGUUGAAUGCUGUGCAAGAUGUCGCAAAGACAUAUUUCUCGCAUCGUCAUAUUCGAAUGAUUAGUAUUUAGUACGGGCGCGCUCUCGUAACCAAUCGAGCGCUUUCGCGUUGUAUUGUGUUGUGUGUGCAUCUGAGAGGAGGCAAACUGAAGGAACCUGGAGGAAUCUGAGAUGGGGAGGAGACCUGGAAAGCAUCAGGAACAACCUAAGAUUAUAUUACAACACCGCUGUUGCGCAUCAUAACGGGCAACGAUGUGCAUCCCCCACCCAUUUGACGGAAUUUCUGAAGAAAUACGUUCUGAGAGCAGAUGUCCGUAAGUAGAAACUUAUUGCGUUUAGGAUUAAGUUAACUCGUUUGACUUUGUCGCUGCUAGAUUGCGCUCUGACAGGCAUGUAAUUAGUGAGCCUUAAUUUCUUGAUCAAAUCGAGCUCCGCUGGUAUCUCGCGCGCGUCUCCCGCGGUAUUGACGAUGCCAGCUGCGAUUAGGCGUAUUCGGUAUGCCUCCUGUGUGUACGUCGGGUCCUCCUGUCAGAUAGACUAAUCUACGGUCAACCAACUCCCAGGCUCACGCGCUCCUCCUACUACCUGCUCGAUUAACGAUCGCCCGGCUCACCUGACUCGCCGGUAAUUCAAAUUCGAAGGAGGCCGAGAGAGUGCAUAUAUAAAUACGCGUUGUGCUGCAUUGCGUUGCGUGCCGGAGUUAUUCACAAACACGAAAGCAUAAAUUCGCCGUUCUUCAUUCCCUUCCUCGUCUCGCCGUUCGGGCGGGAUCAUACACGGGCAAGGCGGAAC